This 149-nucleotide non-coding RNA is filed under the name Homo sapiens (human). The record is from Rfam by way of RNAcentral. Lineage: Eukaryota; Metazoa; Chordata; Mammalia; Primates; Hominidae.
GCUGGGUGUGGUGGUGGGCACCUGUAAUCCCAGCUACUCGGGAGGCUGAGGCUGGAGAAUCGCUUGAACCUGGGAGGUGGAGGUUGCAGUGAGCCAAGAUUGUGCCAUUGCACCUCCAGCCUGGGUGACAGAGUGAGACUCCAUCUUUU